AGUCGUCAUCAUUUUUUGUUUAAGGUGCAAGUUAAAUGAGUUGAUGGCUGUACUGGAAUGUUUACUUCUACCAGAUCUGAUGUAGCUAAACCAACCAGGAGCAGAUAAUUGAAGAUUUUCAGUGUUUGUUAAUCACUGAUGACAUGCUUUGGAAGUACUCAAAACAAAGGAUUCCCAGGUAUUAGAGGAGCAGCGAGCAAUCUCCCUUUGGAUAUUUAUGAGAAUUUUCUAGCAGAAUAUGAAUUACACUACAAAUUUCUUCCCAACAGAUUAAGAACAACCCAAAAAUGCAACUCAUUUCAAUAAAAG
This 309-nucleotide long non-coding RNA is filed under the name Sarcophilus harrisii (Tasmanian devil). Its description in RNAcentral is "lncRNA (ENSSHAG00000031862.1)". The record is from RNAcentral. Lineage: Eukaryota; Metazoa; Chordata; Mammalia; Dasyuromorphia; Dasyuridae.